Molecule: ribosomal RNA, 497 nt
Filed under: uncultured bacterium
Lineage: Bacteria
Description: partial 16S ribosomal RNA
Rfam family: Bacterial small subunit ribosomal RNA
Source: RNAcentral
GACGAACGCUGGCGGCGUGCCUAAUACAUGCAAGUAGAACGCUGAAGCUUGGUGCUUGCCCCGAGCGGAUGAGUUGCGAACGGGUGAGUAACGCGUAGGUAACCUGCCUGGUAGCGGGGGAUAACUAUUGGAAACGAUAGCUAAUACCGCAUAAGAGUAGAUGUUGCAUGACAUUUGCUUAAAAGGUGCAAUUGCAUCACUACCAGAUGGACCUGCGUUGUAUUAGCUAGUUGGUGAGGUAACGGCACACCAAGGCAACGAUACAUAGCCGACCUGAGAGGGUGAUCGGCCACACUGGGACUGAGACACGGCCCAGACUCCUACGGGAGGCAGCAGUAGGGAAUCUUCGGCAAUGGACGGAAGUCUGACCGAGCAACGCCGCGUGAGUGAAGAAGGUUUUCGGAUCGUAAAGCUCUGUUGUAAGAGAAGAACGAGUGUGAGAGUGGAAAGUUCACACUGUGACGGUAUCUUACCAGAAAGGGACGGCUAACUACGUG